GGAGCACUACAGUUUUCUGAGAAUACAGUUUAAGGACUUUUGAUCAGAUUUAAUAUUAUUGGCCCCAAUUUAGAAAUAUUAAGAUUGGCCUGAUGAUGACAGAUAAUGCUGGUGGAAUUCAUAAAUUCAGUUUGGCAGUUCCAAGAGUCCACAGGAAUGGGACACAUGGCAUGUGGGUGACUGAGGGAUAAACUCUAACAAAAUGAUUACAGACUUCAUCAUGCAACUACGACAACGCCUUAGCCUGGCUCAAGUUCAACUUUCAACACGCUUGAGAGCUGUUAGUUCUUUUCUUUAAAAAGGUUGCACAGAUCAGGUUCAGCUUCCCUUUCAUCGUUCCACUAGCUGAUUUUAUGAACAUUAAAAAUGUAUUAUUUUUCA
Chiloscyllium plagiosum (whitespotted bambooshark) is the source of this 381-nucleotide non-coding RNA. The record is from RefSeq and is a predicted model, not a curated record. NCBI's taxonomy places the organism in Eukaryota, Metazoa, Chordata, Chondrichthyes, Orectolobiformes, Hemiscylliidae.